RNAcentral lists this small RNA (192 nucleotides) under Lactobacillus acetotolerans. Its description in RNAcentral is "Listeria sRNA rli28". It matches the Rfam family "Listeria sRNA rli28". Lineage: Bacteria; Bacillati; Bacillota; Bacilli; Lactobacillales; Lactobacillaceae. The record is from Rfam by way of RNAcentral.
CUAUUCCUGUAUAAUUAUAUUUUGUAGAGAAGUUAAGACGGUGGCGCCCAAAUAAAGUGAGGUGAUGCUUAUGGUUCAAUCCUAUAAGCAACUUAAAAUCCUAACGAAAGGAGGGCGCAGUUGUGUCUGUAUCAGACGCAAUACAAUUAAUGCUAAUUUUCGGCACUUUCGCCGUUAAUUUAAUUGCAUUAG